Molecule: transfer RNA, 73 nt
Filed under: Candidatus Omnitrophota bacterium
Lineage: Bacteria; Pseudomonadati; Candidatus Omnitrophota
Description: tRNA-Thr
Rfam family: tRNA
About the family: Transfer RNA (tRNA) molecules are approximately 80 nucleotides in length. Their secondary structure includes four short double-helical elements and three loops (D, anti-codon, and T loops). Further hydrogen bonds mediate the characteristic L-shaped molecular structure. tRNAs have two regions of fundamental functional importance: the anti-codon, which is responsible for specific mRNA codon recognition, and the 3' end, to which the tRNAs corresponding amino acid is attached (by aminoacyl-tRNA synthetases). tRNAs cope with the degeneracy of the genetic code in two manners: having more than one tRNA (with a specific anti-codon) for a particular amino acid; and 'wobble' base-pairing, i.e. permitting non-standard base-pairing at the 3rd anti-codon position.
Source: RNAcentral
GCUGGAGUAGCUCAGUUGGUAGAGCACGUCCUUGGUAAGGACGGGGUCACGGGUUCGAUUCCCGCCUCCAGCU